RNAcentral lists this long non-coding RNA (793 nucleotides) under Homo sapiens (human). RNAcentral's name for it is "non-protein coding lnc-COL28A1-3:1". The record is from RNAcentral. Lineage: Eukaryota; Metazoa; Chordata; Mammalia; Primates; Hominidae.
AGCUGGUACGCAGCACCCACAGCACCGCGGCAGCAGCUAGUGCCGACUCCCGCCUAGCUCUUUUGACUCUGUUCGCGGGAAGAAUGGGGAAACAGUAAGGUUGCGGCGCCUCCCGCGAGACGAGGUACCUGAGGCUGGCCCCGCAGUCCCCCGCCGCACCAGCACCGGAGCUUCACACCCCACUUCCGGGGUCAAGUCACCGCCGGGAAUCCUGUGAUCGCAGAAAGAUUCAUCCCACCGGAAAAAUGUUUAUUCUUUCAGAUGGAGAAGGAAAAAAUGGAACCAUCGAGUUGAUGGAACCCGUAUGUUUAAGUGUUAAUAAGUCUCUUAUAUAUUAUAGUUAAUUCUUCAUCUUGAUUUGGUUUGUUGCCGAUGUUUCUAAUUUUUGCAAUGGAUUUAAAAAGGAUGAGCUGGUAAAACGUCCCUGGCUGUAAAAUUUAAUUCUUGUACUAUUCUCUCAUUAUAUUUCCUUUUACAUUUUUAACCAAUGAUUUUUUGGGCGUCAUGAUUUUUGAACAUAUCCCAUAAAUGUUGGAUAACAAUUCUCAUUCCUUAUGAAAGACCAUAAAAUCACAUAAGAAAAAUUUACGUUGCUUUUUUCUUCCUCAAGAGGUUUUUUGUUUCGUUUUUGUUUUUUUGUUUUGAGACAGGGUCUCACUCUGUUACCCCGGGUGGAAUGCAGUGGCACCAUCAUGGCGCACUGCAGCCUUAGCCUCCCAAGAUCAAGUUGCUCCCAUGUCAGCCUCCCCAGUAGCUGGGACUACAGGCAUGCUUAACCAUGCCUGGCUAAUUU